AGCAAGAACAAAGGAAGAAAAGAAAGAACAAGAACCCUAGGGUGAAAAUUCUAGAGAAAAUUUAUGGAUUUCAAGUAAUCAAACAAUCAAAGGUAAAAUUUCUUGAUUUUGACUUGUGAUCUACCUGUCCCAUACAUUCUUUUGCAUUUUCCAUGGUUGAAUCACAUGAUUUCAUGAUGGGUAUCUUGCUGGCUGAACACUUAGAGAGAGGUUUUGAUGCUUGAUUUGGUUAGAUUUCAAUGUUUUUUAGUUGAUUGGUGAUGUGUAGCAUGAAAAUCAAGCAAGAAAAAUUCAUGUUCUUCCAUCACCCAUCAUUGGCCGAAUUCUCCAUGUGGAAUAUUGAGGAUGAUUUUGAUUUUAUUUCAAGUGAUUUGGUUAAGAAUUAGUGAUUUAUGGUGUGAGAAUCAAGCUUGAAAAAUUAUAGUGUUGAUGCACCCACCAUGGCCGAAUUUUCGAAGAGAAAAUGUGAGGAUGAUUUUGCCAUAUUUCAAGUUAUUUAAUUUGUGCUUGAUGAUUUGGAGUAUUGGGAGAAAAGUGGAAUUAUUUGGAGCUGAAUUGGACGUAUUGGCCAAUUAAUCGGGUGAUAGAUUGAAUUACGCCAAUACCGUUUUAUUUAGGUACAUAAUUGAAUUUAUAUUGAACAUCGUAUUUAGAUAGUUACCCAAGUAUUUCACCUCCCAUUUCAUGCAUUAGUAUAGAGCCUGAAUUGGUUUUAUAACAAUUUAGCAAAAAUGUAGUAAAUGGCUUAUUGUGUAUUAUGUCUAGGUAGUGAGCAUUCUGGCAAAAGUAAAGAGAUAGUACCCGAGGAUCAAGAAUUGGAAUACUCAAAAUUCGACUCUCGAAAUAGUGAGUAACCUUACUAUCGUCUUAAUUAUCUAAAGUGGUUUUUAUUAGAUUUUGUGAUUUUAUGGAAAAUGAGUUUAAAUAGUAAAUCUUUAUGUUUUAUAAACAAAAUGUGUUGAAAUGAAAUGAUUUUAUAAAAUUGUCUUGAAAUUGAAAGAUGGUUUUGAAAAUGGAGUAAUUGGAGACUAAUUGCUAUGUUAUAAAUCAUGGUUUGAAUUGAAUGGCUUAUGAUAAUAUUGGCAUGAAUGGAUGAAUUGGUAUUUGUGUUGAAAAUGUAUAAACUGUUGUUUGCCUUGAUAGGCUGGAUAAUGAUAAAAUUACCAUGUCAUGUUGUUGAAUUUUAUUGAAUUGGUGGGUUAUUGAGUAGUCG
RNAcentral lists this long non-coding RNA (1213 nucleotides) under Theobroma cacao (cacao). Its description in RNAcentral is "long non-coding RNA (TCAC_LNC006339)". The record is from RNAcentral. Lineage: Eukaryota; Viridiplantae; Streptophyta; Magnoliopsida; Malvales; Malvaceae.